GGACCCGCACAAGUAGUGGAGCAUGUGGUUUAAUUCGAAGAUACGCGCAGAACCUUACCAACACUUGACAUGUUCGUCGCGACUCUAAGAGAUUAGAGUUUUCGGUUCGGCCGGACGAAACACAGGUGCUGCAUGGCUGUCGUCAGCUCGUGUCGUGAGAUGUUGGGUUAAGUCCCGCAACGAGCGCAACCCUCACUUUUAGUUGCCAUCAUUAAGUUGGGCACUCUGAAAGAACUGCCAGUGAUAAGCUGGAGGAAGGUGGGGAUGACGUCAAGGCUCCUAUGGGCCCCUUACGUGUUGGGCUACACACGUGCUACAAUGGCAUCUACAACAGGAAGCAAAACCGGACAACGUUAAG
Molecule: ribosomal RNA, 358 nt
Filed under: uncultured bacterium
Lineage: Bacteria
Description: bacterial SSU rRNA
Rfam family: Bacterial small subunit ribosomal RNA
Source: RNAcentral